Molecule: long non-coding RNA, 738 nt
Filed under: Homo sapiens (human)
Lineage: Eukaryota; Metazoa; Chordata; Mammalia; Primates; Hominidae
Description: non-protein coding lnc-CD34-7:4
Source: RNAcentral
AACAGAACAGGUUCCCCGAGGCCGCCUUUUUUCUUGCUAAGCCCUUGGCCUACCAUCCCGGAAGCCUGAGGCGUCCUGCGGGAAAGGACUGGCUCGCCGUCAUAUUUGUGACCCAGGCAGGGUGGAGAGAAAACUAAGCUGCUUUGGUAAUAGUUUCCGGGAAUUCGGGAGUCAAGAAUAAAGCACUUCGACCUAAAAAUAGAGAUCCAGAGUCUAGACAGGGGGUCACCGUGGGCUAGCACCCCUCAGGGUUAGUUUUAUCCUGGGGCACUGCAGGCUGUCAGGACUGCCUGGGCCCUUACUUGGUAUUUGGCAUUAGUCAGGCAUUAUUGGGAACAAUAUUUGAGUUUUUCUUGCUUGAAUGCCUGCUACUGGAUCGUCUCGGGGCCGUCUUGUUUUCACAAUCUCAAAGGUUUGGCUUCUGCACUCCCAGCCCCUAAGAUUCUAGGUGCUAUGGUCUCUGAAGCCUAGGCUGGCAAAUAUGCUGGACACCACAAGCUUCCUUUCUGUGUUUGUUGCGGUGGCACAAACAUAGCCCCUACUCACUACCUGGCUUAGCUGUUCCCGUGAAGAGUGAGAUUGAGGCAGAGCCUCCACUGUGUGCUGAGCAAGGGUGAGCACCAACAGCUGGACCAUGCGCUGUGAGCACCUGACACUUGACAUUUUCAAAGGGACUCUGUUAUAGGUUGAAUUGUGUCUCCCCCAAAUAUGUUGGGAAGUCUUAACCCCCAGUCCCUG